UCCGGUGUAGCUCAACGAGGUAGAGCAUCCGUAUGUCGGCUGAUGCGGAAGGUUGUGCGGUUCGAGUCCGUCCGCCGGAA
RNAcentral lists this transfer RNA (80 nucleotides) under Bacteroidales bacterium. RNAcentral describes it as "tRNA-OTHER". It matches the Rfam family "tRNA". Rfam says of the family: Transfer RNA (tRNA) molecules are approximately 80 nucleotides in length. Their secondary structure includes four short double-helical elements and three loops (D, anti-codon, and T loops). The record is from RNAcentral. Lineage: Bacteria; Pseudomonadati; Bacteroidota; Bacteroidia; Bacteroidales.